Molecule: ribosomal RNA, 414 nt
Filed under: uncultured bacterium
Lineage: Bacteria
Description: bacterial SSU rRNA
Rfam family: Bacterial small subunit ribosomal RNA
Source: RNAcentral
AGAGUUUGAUCCUGGCUCAGAUUGAACGCUGGCGGCAUGCCUUACACAUGCAAGUCGAACGGCAGCACGGGAGCAAUCCUGGUGGCGAGUGGCGAACGGGUGAGUAAUGUAUCGGAACGUACCUUUCAGUGGGGGAUAACGUAGCGAAAGUUACGCUAAUACCGCAUAUUCUGUGAGCAGGAAAGCAGGGGAUCGCAAGACCUUGCGCUGAUUGAGCGGCCGAUAUCAGAUUAGCUAGUUGGUGAGGUAAAGGCUCACCAAGGCGACGAUCUGUAGCGGGUCUGAGAGGAUGAUCCGCCACACUGGAACUGAGACACGGUCCAGACUCCUACGGGAGGCAGCAGUGGGGAAUUUUGGACAAUGGGGGCAACCCUGAUCCAGCCAUGCCGCGUGAGUGAAGAAGGCCUUCGGGUU